CCAGGUUCAGAGAUGGGGCUGGGAGGCCUUCGGAGAUUAUGGAGGAAUUGAGACUAUGACAACAUUCAGAAAUUAUGGUUGUUGUCAUAAGCAGUUACCGUGCUAAAAUGGGAGAUGGAUGGAGCUCCUCCAAUUAAGGGAUAUAGUUCUCUACUUUUUAAAUAUCUUCUUAUGCCUCGAUUUGGCCAAUUUUAUUCGGCAGAGUCAACUUUUUGUCAGUUCUGUGUCCUCGUGAAAUCAGAGAGGUUUGCUCCAUAAAAUAAAGACCAUCUGUUAUGGUUUGGAUGUGAAAUGUUCCUUAAAAAGCAAAUGUGGCAAUGCAGGAGUGUUCAGAGGUGAAAUGAUUAUUAGAUUGAGAGCUGUAACCUAGUCGGUAGAUUAGUCCAUUUGAAGGAUUAAUAAUUUGAAUGGAUUACUGUGUGGUAACUGUGAGGAGGUGGUGCAUAGCUGGAGGAAGUAGGUCACUGGGGGCAUGCCCUUGGGGAUUAUCUUUUGUCCCUGGCUACUGGCACUCUCUGCUUCCUAGCUACCAUAAGAUGAGCAGCUUUCCUCCACCAUGCUUUCUGCCAUGAUAUUCUGCCUUACUCAGACCCAGAGCAAUAGAAUCAGCCAACCAUAUGAACUUCUAAAACCAUGAUCCCAAAAUAAACCUUUCUUCCUCUAAAUUGUGUUUGUCAGGUAUUUUGGUCACAGAGAUAAAAAGUUGACUAACACACCAGCCAGUUCAAUAACUGUAAGUCAGCUCCCCUUUUCUAACCAUAACUUCUGUGAUCUGAUGAUAUCUCUGCCAUUCAAAAAUGUUUGUAUUACUGCUGAAAUCACGGCCUCUAGGAGGAAUCUACCAUAGCAUCUGCAACCAAGGAGAACAACAUUGUAAAUGUUGUCUUGCCCUUCAUCUGUGUAUUUCUAAUUUUUUUUUUUUUUUGAGGGGAAUGUUGCUAGCACUCAGGAGACAUAGUUAUAGGUGAGUGGAAAGUUGUCCAUGCAGAAUUUGCAGGGAAAUGGAUGGCAUUAGAGCAGAUUGUGCUAAGUGAAGCUAGCCAAUCCCUAAAAAACAAAUGCCAAAUGUCUUCUUUGAUAUAAGGAGAACAACUAAAAACAGAGCAGUGAGGAAGAGCAUGAGAAAAAGAUUAACAUUAAAC
Molecule: long non-coding RNA, 1142 nt
Filed under: Marmota monax (woodchuck)
Lineage: Eukaryota; Metazoa; Chordata; Mammalia; Rodentia; Sciuridae
Source: RNAcentral